Molecule: ribosomal RNA, 212 nt
Filed under: uncultured Staphylococcus sp.
Lineage: Bacteria; Bacillati; Bacillota; Bacilli; Caryophanales; Staphylococcaceae
Description: partial 16S ribosomal RNA
Rfam family: Bacterial small subunit ribosomal RNA
Source: RNAcentral
CGGGAAACCGGAGCUAAUACCGGAUAAUAUUCGAACCGCAUGGUUCGAUAGUGAAAGGUGGUUUUGCUAUCACUUAUAGAUGGACCUGCGCCGUAUUAGCUAGUUGGUAAGGUAACGGCUUACCAAAGGCGACGAUACGUAGCCGACCUGAGAGGGUGAUCGGCCACACUGGAACUGAGACACGGUCCAGACUCCUACGGGAGGCAGCAGAU